AACUUUCAACAACGGAUCUCUUGGCUCUCGCAUCGAUGAAGAACGCAGCGAAAUGCGAUAAGUAAUGUGAAUUGCAGAAUUCAGUGAAUCAUCGAAUCUUUGAACGCAAAUUGCGCUCUUUGGUAUUCCGAAGAGCAUGCCUGUUUGAGUGUCAUAU
Molecule: ribosomal RNA, 157 nt
Filed under: Derxomyces yunnanensis
Lineage: Eukaryota; Fungi; Basidiomycota; Tremellomycetes; Tremellales; Bulleribasidiaceae
Description: 5.8S ribosomal RNA
Rfam family: 5.8S ribosomal RNA
About the family: 5.8S ribosomal RNA (5.8S rRNA) is a component of the large subunit of the eukaryotic ribosome. It is transcribed by RNA polymerase I as part of the 45S precursor that also contains 18S and 28S rRNA. Functionally, it is thought that 5.8S rRNA may be involved in ribosome translocation.
Source: RNAcentral